Long non-coding RNA from Rosa chinensis, 407 nucleotides. RefSeq lists it as uncharacterized. Lineage: Eukaryota; Viridiplantae; Streptophyta; Magnoliopsida; Rosales; Rosaceae. The transcript is spliced from 3 exons. The record is from RefSeq and is a predicted model, not a curated record.
AAACUUAGAUUUCAAUUCCUCUCUUUAAUGCCACUUCAGAUCAUGCCAUCAUUUGGAUAGAGAGAGAAGCUCAAAGGGCUCUAGAUGACAAUGAGUUGGUUCGGUUGAAGCAUGAAGCAAGGCUGAAAGGAGGAUUCUAUGUCAAGCCAGAGUCUAAGCUUUCGUUUAUCAUUCGUAUCCAUGGUGGGCGGUAAAGACACGCAAAUCAUAUAGCCAAGCUCAAAUUGACGAGGUGUGCAUUGAAGUGGCUGAUUAUAUACAGAGUUGGGUGUAGGACUUGUGGCUACGAAGAAAUUUUUGAGUAAGGCUAGCUAGUUUUUGCUUUGAAGGAAAGUUUGGUGUAUAUAUGUAGAACUGAUAUAGUUGGUUGCUAUUAUGUUUAUGGGCUAGCCUUUGUAGGUUUUGGG